RNAcentral lists this non-coding RNA (21 nucleotides) under Caenorhabditis elegans. Lineage: Eukaryota; Metazoa; Nematoda; Chromadorea; Rhabditida; Rhabditidae. The record is from RNAcentral.
UAAAAAAUCAAAAACUCUGGG